CCUACGGGAGGCAGCAGUCGAGAAUCAUUCACAAUGGGGGAAACUCUGAUGGUGCGACGCCGCGUGGGGGAAUGAAGGUCUUUGGAUUGUAAACUCCUGUCAUGUGGGAGCAAAUCAAAAAGCUAGUACCACAAGAGGAAGAGACGGCUAACUCUGCGCCAGCAGCCGCGGUAAUACAGAGGCCUCAAGCGUUGUUCGGAAUCACUGGGCGGAAAGGGUGCGUAGGCUGUUUCGUAAGUCUUGUUUGAAAGGCGCGGGCUCAACCCGCGGACGGCACAUGAUACUGCGAGACUAGAGUACAGGAGGGGGAAGCGGAAUUCGCGGUGUAGCAGUGAAAUGCGUAGAUAUC
This 349-nucleotide ribosomal RNA is filed under the name uncultured bacterium. RNAcentral describes it as "partial 16S ribosomal RNA". It matches the Rfam family "Bacterial small subunit ribosomal RNA", at positions 338 to 698 of the family's 1533-position model. The record is from RNAcentral.